Zalophus californianus (California sea lion) is the source of this 387-nucleotide long non-coding RNA. RefSeq lists it as uncharacterized. Lineage: Eukaryota; Metazoa; Chordata; Mammalia; Carnivora; Otariidae. The record is from RefSeq and is a predicted model, not a curated record. The transcript has 3 exons.
AAAAAGCAUUCUUCUCCUUUGUUCUCCAGACUUACCUGUGGUUUUGCCAUAGCUUGCUUGCAAUUUUCUGCUAUUCCUGAUAGAGUAGGCGGUUAGCUAGAUGCAGAAAAUGGCCACCAUGACAGUUUUGACAAGGACCGUAUGAGGCCUCCCAACUGGUGUUCACGGGAAGAUGGCAGACACAGACUCACAGAGAAGAUUGGAGGGGAGGAAACCAGGGUGGAUACAGAGGGUGGUAUAAUAAUGACGAGAUGCAAAAGAGGAGACCAAAUAGACAUCCCAUAAAAAAACAAUGCAAAAGUCAGCAGGCUGCUACGCACCCUAGGAUCAGCCCACACCCCCAUCUCUGGAGUGUACUUGCACUUUGCUAAAUAAAACCUUUGCUUC